GACGGAGGGCGCAAGCGUUGUUCGGAAUCACUGGGCGUAAAGCGCGCGCAGGCGGGUGGGGAAGUCGGGGGUGAAAGGUCAGGGCUCAACCCUGGGCCGUUGUCUCGAUACUCCGUGCCUUGGGACCGGUAGAGGCCAGUGGAAUUCCCGGAGUAGCGGUGGAAUGCGUAGAUAUCGGGAAGAACACAAGAGGCGAAGGAGACUGGCUGGGCCGGAUCCGACGCUGAGGCGCGAAAGCGUGGGGAGCAAACAGG
Molecule: unclassified non-coding RNA, 254 nt
Filed under: uncultured Gemmatimonadota bacterium
Lineage: Bacteria; Pseudomonadati; Gemmatimonadota
Description: uncultured Gemmatimonadetes bacterium contains 16S-23S intergenic spacer region
Rfam family: Bacterial small subunit ribosomal RNA
Source: RNAcentral